CGGGCUGUGGCUCAGCUUGGUAGAGCGCUGCGUUCGGGACGCAGAGGCCGGGGGUUCAAAUCCCCCCAGCCCGACCA
Molecule: transfer RNA, 77 nt
Filed under: Chthoniobacterales bacterium
Lineage: Bacteria; Pseudomonadati; Verrucomicrobiota; Spartobacteria; Chthoniobacterales
Description: tRNA-Pro
Rfam family: tRNA
About the family: Transfer RNA (tRNA) molecules are approximately 80 nucleotides in length.
Source: RNAcentral